RNAcentral lists this ribosomal RNA (775 nucleotides) under uncultured Mogibacterium sp. RNAcentral's name for it is "bacterial SSU rRNA". It matches the Rfam family "Bacterial small subunit ribosomal RNA", at positions 64 to 849 of the family's 1533-position model. The record is from RNAcentral. Lineage: Bacteria; Bacillati; Bacillota; Clostridia; Peptostreptococcales; Anaerovoracaceae.
UAGCGCAUGAACCUUCGGGGGAUUAUGCUAACGGACAGCGGCGGACGGGUGAGUAACGCGUAGGCAACCUGCCCCUGACAGAGGGAUAGCCAUUGGAAACGAUGAUUAAAACCUCAUGACACCGUAGAAGCACAUGCUUCAUCGGUCAAAGAUUUAUCGGUCAGGGAUGGGCCUGCGUCUGAUUAACUAGUUGGUGAGGUAACGGCUCGCCCAAGGUGACGAUCAGUAGCCGACCUGAGAGGGUGAUCGGCCACAUUGGAACUGAGACACGGUCCAAACUUCUACGGAAGGCAGCAGUAGGGAAUCUUGCACAAUGGGCGAAAGCCUGAUGCAGCAACGCCGCGUGAAGGAUGAAGGCCUUCGGGUUGUAAACUUCUGUUCUAAGGGAAGAAACAAAUGACGGUACCUUAGGAGCAAGCCCCGGCUAACUACGUGCCAGCAGCCGCGGUAAUACGUAGGGGGCAAGCGUUAUCCGGAAUUAUUGGGCGUAAAGAGUGCGUAGGUGGUUACCUAAGCGCAAGGUUUAAUUUAGAGGCUCAACCUCUACUUGCCUUGCGAACUGGGCUACUUGAGUGCAGGAGGGGAAAGCGGAAUUCCUAGUGUAGCGGUGAAAUGCGUAGAUAUUAGGAGGAACACCGGCGGCGAAGGCGGCUUUCUGGACUGUAACUGACACUGAGGCACGAAAGCGUGGGUAGCAAACAGGAUUAGAUAUCCUGGUAGUCCACGCCGUAAACGAUGAGCACUAGGUGUUGGGCCCGUUAGGGCUCAGUGCCGC